Molecule: ribosomal RNA, 321 nt
Filed under: uncultured eukaryote
Lineage: Eukaryota
Description: partial 18S ribosomal RNA
Rfam family: Eukaryotic small subunit ribosomal RNA
Source: RNAcentral
CCCUUAGAUGUCCUGGGCCGCACGCGCGCUACACUGAGUGUCUGAGAUACGAGUCUGCCUGGUCCGGCAAGGUCUAGGUAAUCGCUAAAAGACACAUCAUGCUUGGGAUAGAUUAUUGCAAAUAUUAAUCUUCAACGAGGAAUUCCUAGUAAGCGCGAGUCAUCAGCUCGCGCUGAUUACGUCCCUGCCCUUUGUACACACCGCCCGUCGCUGCAACUGAUUGGGUGACCUGGUGAACAUCUUGGACCGGCUUGCCCAUUUUUGGACGAGUUGGAAAAGGACGUAAAUCAGGUACAUCUAGAAAUUGCAAAAGUCGUAACA